GCAGAUAUCUCCUCUUCAAAACUCUUCAUUACAGAGUCUAGAUCCUGAGUGGUCGGGUCAGGGUCCGACUCAUCAAGAAUACUCAACAAAUCAUCUCUUAUUUUCUUCACCUCGGGAAAAUCCAACUCGGCCUCCUCCCUGACUCGCUUCUUGUUGAUAAGCUCUUCCAUUGCGAUGUAAAAGAGGAAAUUUGAUAUUUGAUAUACCCUCGAAAACAAUAAAAAUGAAACAGUAUGGUUAGGGUUUUUGCUUUUCUUGCAGUAGAUAGGAAAUAAUACGCUUUGCGGUUGUGGCGUGGGGUGGCAGCGUAAUGAGAAGUUUAUAUACAAGUGACAAUAGAGAGAGAAAA
Molecule: unclassified non-coding RNA, 349 nt
Filed under: Hevea brasiliensis (rubber tree)
Lineage: Eukaryota; Viridiplantae; Streptophyta; Magnoliopsida; Malpighiales; Euphorbiaceae
Source: RNAcentral